Molecule: non-coding RNA, 23 nt
Filed under: Cricetulus griseus (Chinese hamster)
Lineage: Eukaryota; Metazoa; Chordata; Mammalia; Rodentia; Cricetidae
Source: RNAcentral
CAUUUGGGCCAGUUUUAACAAUA